GUCCUCACUUCGGGAGCACAUAUACUAAAAUUAGAACUUUACAGAGAUUAGCAUGGCCCCUGCACAAGGAUGACACACAAACUCAAAAAACGUUCCUUAUUAAA
This 104-nucleotide small nuclear RNA is filed under the name Dasypus novemcinctus (nine-banded armadillo). Lineage: Eukaryota; Metazoa; Chordata; Mammalia; Cingulata; Dasypodidae. The record is from RNAcentral.